GAUGAACGCUGGCGGCGUGCCUAACACAUGCAAGUCGAGCGAUUCUCUUCGGAGAAGAGCGGCGGACGGGCGAGUAACGCGUGGGUAACCUGCCUCAUACACAUGGAUAACAUACCGAAAGGUAUGCUAAUACAAGAUGAUAUAAGAAAUUCGCAUGGAUUUCUUAUCAAAGCUCCGGCGGUAUGAGAUGGACCCGCGUCUGAUUAGCUAGUUGGUAAGGUAACGGCUUACCAAGGCGACGAUCAGUAGCGACCUGAGAGGGUGAUCGGCCACAUUGGAACUGAGACACGGUCCAAACUCCUACGGGAGGCAGCAGUGGGGAAUAUUGGCACAAUGGGCGAAAGCCUGAUGCAGCAACGCCGCGUGAGCGAUGAAGGCCUU
Molecule: ribosomal RNA, 381 nt
Filed under: uncultured bacterium
Lineage: Bacteria
Description: bacterial SSU rRNA
Rfam family: Bacterial small subunit ribosomal RNA
Source: RNAcentral